CCCCCCUACCCUCAUUUCCCGUAAGUGAGAGCACUGCCCGAACUCCAUUCUAGAGGGCCACCUGCGCUACCAAUCCAUCUAAAUAAGGUCUUCUCCCGUCUUCUUCCCUGUUCCUAUGGUCUUGAUCUGCAAAGUGAUUUCCGAAAGCUCCCAAUAGGCCAACGCUUCUAUUAUAAUUAAGUAAGUAGGAAAGAGCUUUAGAUGGGAUUCACACGCAGCUUCUUAUUUUUUCUUUUUUUACCCUACGCGCCUGCUCUUAAG
Molecule: unclassified non-coding RNA, 261 nt
Filed under: Hevea brasiliensis (rubber tree)
Lineage: Eukaryota; Viridiplantae; Streptophyta; Magnoliopsida; Malpighiales; Euphorbiaceae
Source: RNAcentral